This 376-nucleotide ribosomal RNA is filed under the name Dipteromimus tipuliformis. RNAcentral's name for it is "partial 16S rRNA". The record is from RNAcentral. Lineage: Eukaryota; Metazoa; Arthropoda; Insecta; Ephemeroptera; Dipteromimidae.
GGUAACUUAGUCUUAUAAUCAUUAUUAAUGGAUCAAGAACCUAUUCAUCCAUAUUACUCUCCAAGAAGAGUUUACCCUAUCUCCCCGUCACCCCAACCAAACAAUUUUAAGUCAAACCCUACUCUACUCUAAAUAAAUUUAUCACCCAUAAUUGUCAAGCUCUAUAGGGUCUUCUCGUCCUCCAACCUUAUUUCAGCCUUUUGACUGAAAAGUUAAAUUAUAACCCAAUCCUUGUGAGACAGUAAACACCUCGUCCAACCAUUCAUACCGGCCUCUAAUUAAGAGACUAAUGAUUAUGCUACCUUUGCACGGUCAAAAUACCGCGGCCCUUCAAUUUUCAGCGGGCAGGCUAGACCUCUUAUAAUUACAAGAAGCG